RNAcentral lists this unclassified non-coding RNA (377 nucleotides) under uncultured Parachlamydiaceae bacterium. RNAcentral describes it as "contains 16S-23S intergenic spacer region". The record is from RNAcentral. Lineage: Bacteria; Pseudomonadati; Chlamydiota; Chlamydiia; Parachlamydiales; Parachlamydiaceae.
UCCUGGUUAACCCAGGCAGUCUCAUUAGAGUUCCCACCUUAUAUGUUGGCAACUAAUGAUAAGGGUUGCGCUCGUUGCGGGACUUAACCCAACACCUCACGGCACGAGCUGACGACAGCCAUGCAGCACCUGUGCACCGGCCCCGAAGGGAGCUAUCAUUUCUGAUAGUGUCCAGUGCAUGUCAAGACUGGGUAAGGUUCUUCGCGUUGCAUCGAAUUAAACCACAUGCUCCACUGCUUGUGCGGGUCCCCGUCAAUUCUUUUGAGUUUCAGCCUUGCGACUGUACUCCUCAGGCGGUAUACUUAUCGCGUUAGCUACGGCACAACCAGGGUUGAGUCCGGUUACACCAAGUAUACAUCGUUUAGGGCAAGGACUAC